GUGCCAGCCGCCGCGGUAAGACAGAGGAUGCAAGCGUUAUCCGAAAUGAUUGGGCGUAAAGCGUCUGUAGGUGGUUUAAAAAGUACAUUGUUAAAUUUUAAGGCUUAACCUUAGCAAAGCAAGGUAAACUUUUAAACUAGAGUUUGGUAGAGGCAGAGGGAAUUUCCGGUGGAGCGGUGAAAUGCGGAGAGAUCGGGAGGAACACCAAAGGCGAAAGCACUUUGCUGGGCCAUUACUGACACUAAGAGACGAAAGCAAGGGGAGCAAAUGGGACUAGAUACCCCAGUAGUCCUUGCCGUAAACGAUGGAUACUAAAUGUUGGAGAAAUUCAGUAUUGUAGCUAACGCGUUAAGUAUCCCGCCUGGGGAGUACGCUCGCAAGAGUGAAACUUAAAGAAAUUGGCGG
This 405-nucleotide ribosomal RNA is filed under the name uncultured bacterium. Its description in RNAcentral is "bacterial SSU rRNA". It matches the Rfam family "Bacterial small subunit ribosomal RNA", at positions 505 to 916 of the family's 1533-position model. The record is from RNAcentral.